GCAUUAAUGGGGUAGUGGUAACCUGGGUCGUUGCCACCUUAGGAAUAAUCUGGUAUCUAGCUCGACCCGCCGGGGGUUCGAUUCCCUCUUAAUGCA
Molecule: transfer RNA, 96 nt
Organism: Hebeloma cylindrosporum
Lineage: Eukaryota; Fungi; Basidiomycota; Agaricomycetes; Agaricales; Hymenogastraceae
Rfam family: tRNA
About the family: Transfer RNA (tRNA) molecules are approximately 80 nucleotides in length. Their secondary structure includes four short double-helical elements and three loops (D, anti-codon, and T loops).
Source: Rfam